UNUGACUUGAGUGCAGAAGGGGAGAGUGGAAUUCCAUGNGUAGCGGUGAAAUGCGUAGAUAUAUGGAGGAACACCAGUGGCGAAAGCGGCUCUCUGGUCUGUCACUGACGCUGAGGCUCGAAAGCGUGGGUAGCGAACAGGAUUAGAUACCCUGGUAGUNCACGCCGUAAACGAUGAGUGCUAGGUGUUAGGCCCUUUCCGGGGCUUAGUGCCGGAGCUAACACAAUAAGCACUCCGCCUGGGGAGUACGACCGCAAGGUUGAAACUCAAAGGAAUUGACGGGGGCCCGCACAAGCGGUGGAGCAUGUGGUUUAAUUCGAAGCAACGCGAAGAACCUUACCAGGUCUUGACAUCCCGAUGCUAUUCUUAGAGAUAGGAAGUUACUUCGGUACAUCGGAGACAGGUGGUGCAUGGUUGUCGUCAGCUCGUGUCGUGAGACGUUGGGUUAAGUCCCGCAACGAGCGCAACCCUUAUUGUUAGUUGCCAUCAUUAAGUUGGGCACUCUAGCGAGACUGCCGGUAAUAAACCGGAGGAAGGUGGGGAUGACAUCAAAUCAUCAUGCCCCUUAUGACCUGGGCUACACACGUGCUACAAUGGUCGGUACAACGAGUUGCGAGCCGGUGACGGCAAGCUAAUCUCUGAAAGCCGAUCUCAGUUCGGAUUGGAGGCUGCAACUCGCCUCCAUGAAGUCGGAAUCGCUAGUAAUCGCGGAUCAGCACGCCGCGGUGAAUACGUUCCCGGGCCUUGUACACACCG
Molecule: ribosomal RNA, 756 nt
Filed under: uncultured bacterium
Lineage: Bacteria
Description: bacterial SSU rRNA
Rfam family: Bacterial small subunit ribosomal RNA
Source: RNAcentral